UUUAGAGUUUGAUCCAUGGCUCAGAUUGAACGCUGGCGGCAGGCCUAGCACAUGCAAGUCGAGCGAGAAAGCCUUCGGGUGAGUAGAGCGGCGGACGGGUGAGUAACGCGUGGGAAUCUACCGAGUAGAGGGGGACAACAGUUGGAAACGGCUGCUAAUACCGCAUACGCCCUGAGGGGGAAAGCAGGGGUUCCAUUUAUGGACCUUGUGCUAUUUGAUGAGCCCGCGUUAGAUUAGCUAGAUGGUGGGGUAAAGGCCUACCAUGGCGACGAUCUAUAGCUGGUCUGAGAGGAUGAUCAGCCACACUGGGACUGAGACACGGCCCAGACUCCUACGGGAGGCAGCAGUGGGGAAUAUUGCACAAUGGGCGCAAGCCUGAUGCAGCCAUGCCGCGUGUGUGAAGAAGGCUUUAGGGUUGUAAAGCACUUUCAGCGAGGAGGAAAGGUUGACGAAUAAUACUCGUUAACUGUGACGUUACUCGCAGAAGAAGCACCGGCUAACUCCGUGCCAGCAGCCGCGGUAAUACGGAGGGUGCGAGCGUUAAUCGGAAUUACUGGGCGUAAAGCGCGCGUAGGUGGUUAUUUAAGCCAGAUGUGAAAUCCUGAGCUUAACUUGGGUUUGUCAUGUGAAACUGUUUUGCUAGAGUCUGACAGAGGCGAGUGGAAUUUCCUGUGUAGCGGUGAAAUGCGCAGAUAUAGGAAAGAACACCAGUGGCGAAGGCGACUCGCUGGGUCAAGACUGACGCUGAGGUGCGAAAGCGUGGGUAGCAAACAGGAUUAGAUACCCUGGUAGUCCACGCCGUAAACGAUGAGAACUUGCUGUUGGGAUCCUUUGGGGUUUCAGUAGCGUAGCUAACGCGGUAAGUUCUCCGCCUGGGGAGUACGGUCGCAAGACUAAAACUCAAAGGAAUUGACGGGGACCCGCACAAGCGGUGGAGCAUGUGGUUUAAUUCGAUGCAACGCGAAGAACCUUACCCGGUCUUGACAUACUCGGAACUUUUCAGAAAUGAAUUGGUGCCUUCGGGAGCCGAGAUACAGGUGCUGCAUGGCUGUCGUCAGCUCGUGUCGUGAGAUGUUGGGUUAAGUCCCGCACCGAGCGCAACCCCUAUCAUUAGUUACCAGCACUUCGGGUGGGAACUCUAAUGAGACUGCCGGUGACAAACCGGAGAAAGGUGGGGACAACGUCAAGUCAUCAUGGCCUUUUGACCGGGCUACCCCGUGCUACAUGGGGCAUACAAAAGUCCCGGACCGCAUGUUUACCUAUCUCUAAAGGCUUCGAAUCGGAUGCCCUCCUGAGCUUAACUUGGGUUUGUCAUGUGAAACUGUUUUGCUAGAGUCUGACAGAGGCGAGUGGAAUUUCCUGUGUAGCGGUGAAAUGCGCAGAUAUAGGAAAGAACACCAGUGGCGAAGGCGACUCGCUGGGUCAAGACUGACGCUGAGGUGCGAAAGCGUGGGUAGCAAACAGGAUUAGAUACCCUGGUAGUCCACGCCGUAAACGAUGAGAACUUGCUGUUGGGAUCUUUGGGGUUUCAGAGGGUAGCUAACCGGUAAUUUUCCCCCUGGGAGUACGUUCCCAGACUAAACUCAAAGGAAUUGACGGGACCCCCCCAAGCGUGGAGCAUUUGGUUAAUUCGAUGCAACGCGAAGAACCUUACCCCGGUCUUGACAUACUCGGAACUUUCAGAAAUGAAUUGGUGCCUUCGGGAGCCGAGAUACAGGUGCUGCAUGGCUGUCGUCAGCUCGUGUCGUGAGAUGUUGGGUUAAGUCCCGCAACGAGCGCAACCCCCUAUCAUUAGUUACCAGCACUUCGGGUGGGAACUCUAAUGAGACUGCCGGUGACAAACCGGAGAAAGGUGGGGACAACGUCAAGUCAUCAUGGCCCUUAUGACCAGGGCUACACACGUGCUACAAUGGGGCAUACAAAGAGUCGCGAGACAGCAAUGUUUAGCUAAUCUCAUAAAGUGCUUCGUAGUCCGGAUUGCACUCUGCAACUCGAGUGCAUGAAGUCGGAAUCGCUAGUAAUCGCAGAUCAGAAUGCUGCGGUGAAUACGUUCCCGGGUCUUGUACACACCGCCCGUCACACCAUGGAAGUGGGUUGCACCAGAAGUCAAUAGCUUAACCUUCGGGAGAGCGUUGCCCACGGUGUGAUUCAUGACUGGGAUGAAGUCGUAACAAGGUAGCCGUA
RNAcentral lists this ribosomal RNA (2184 nucleotides) under uncultured Candidatus Endobugula sp. Its description in RNAcentral is "16S ribosomal RNA". The stretch from base 1 to 1328 matches the Rfam family "Bacterial small subunit ribosomal RNA". Lineage: Bacteria; Pseudomonadati; Pseudomonadota; Gammaproteobacteria; Cellvibrionales; Cellvibrionaceae. The record is from RNAcentral.